CAACAACGCAGCCGGGCUUCUACCAAAUCCUGUCGCUGAUCCUCAAACUGGAAUGCGGGGAUUAAUAAACUCCAUACUACUCAUUCAUGGGCGUUCCUCGAAGUCAAUGUUAUUCCACAGUAUAAUCAACUGGUAAGGAAUCCAAACCUGAAGUGAUCGUUGGCAUCCGAGAUUCUGGAAGAUAUGCAGCUGAAUUUCCAGUUCAUUCAUAGUGUAUUGAGUACUGAUAUGGAAGCGCUUCAAAAUUUAACUGCUGAAUGUGAUUUGGAUUCAAAACAGGGGUCUGAUUAUGGUGAGAAAGAAGUGGUGGAGGGGAAUGUGUUAAUGCUGGAGUGGUUGGCUGGCU
Papaver somniferum (opium poppy) is the source of this 346-nucleotide long non-coding RNA. RefSeq lists it as uncharacterized. The transcript is spliced from 4 exons. Lineage: Eukaryota; Viridiplantae; Streptophyta; Magnoliopsida; Ranunculales; Papaveraceae. The record is from RefSeq and is a predicted model, not a curated record.